Molecule: long non-coding RNA, 330 nt
Organism: Balaenoptera musculus (blue whale)
Lineage: Eukaryota; Metazoa; Chordata; Mammalia; Artiodactyla; Balaenopteridae
Exons: 3
Source: RefSeq, a predicted model, not a curated record
CUCGGGGCGGAAUGGAACCUGUUGACGGUACUGAACGUCGUUUCCCUGAAGCCUGUAAUAAAUGGAGAAAAUGAGACAUAGGAAGAUGAAUCAGCCUACUCACGAUCAUUUAGUUGGUGGAUGACAGAGGGAUUCAGACCUUUAGUGGAACCAGACCAGAGGCACUUCCCUUCUCCCUCAAAUCAAUAGAAAACAGCUACCACGUAAAUCAGCCCGUCUCCAUUCUCUUGAAGAUAUUGCCCACUUAAGGGAGAUGCUUGAGAAAAUACCCUUGUAGGGCCUGAGGACCUCUGAUACCAUCAUGUUAUCUAUUUGUCCUCCUUAUCAAAG